Molecule: ribosomal RNA, 2128 nt
Filed under: Salmonella enterica subsp. enterica serovar Enteritidis
Lineage: Bacteria; Pseudomonadati; Pseudomonadota; Gammaproteobacteria; Enterobacterales; Enterobacteriaceae
Description: partial 23S ribosomal RNA
Rfam family: Bacterial large subunit ribosomal RNA
Source: RNAcentral
UGGGUAACACUAACUGGAGGACCGAACCGACUAAUGUUGAAAAAUUAGCGGAUGACCUGUGGCUGGGGGUGAAAGGCCAAUCAAACCGGGAGAUAGCUGGUUCUCCCCGAAAGCUAUUUAGGUAGCGCCUCGUGAAUUCAUCUCCGGGGGUAGAGCACUGUUUCGGCUAGGGGGCCAUCCCGGCUUACCAACCCGAUGCAAACUGCGAAUACCGGAGAAUGUUAUCACGGGAGACACACGGCGGGUGCUAACGUCCGUCGUGAAGAGGGAAACAACCCAGACCGCCAGCUAAGGUCCCAAAGUCAUGGUUAAGUGGGAAACGAUGUGGGAAGGCCCAGACAGCCAGGAUGUUGGCUUAGAAGCAGCCAUCAUUUAAAGAAAGCGUAAUAGCUCACUGGUCGAGUCGGCCUGCGCGGAAGAUGUAACGGGGCUAAACCAUGCACCGAAGCUGCGGCAGCGACACUGUGUGUUGUUGGGUAGGGGAGCGUUCUGUAAGCCUGUGAAGGUGUGUCGUGAGGCAUGCUGGAGGUAUCAGAAGUGCGAAUGCUGACAUAAGUAACGAUAAAGCGGGUGAAAAGCCCGCUCGCCGGAAGACCAAGGGUUCCUGUCCAACGUUAAUCGGGGCAGGGUGAGUCGACCCCUAAGGCGAGGCCGAAAGGCGUAGUCGAUGGGAAACGGGUUAAUAUUCCCGUACUUGGUGUUACUGCGAAGGGGGGACGGAGAAGGCUAUGUUGGCCGGGCGACGGUUGUCCCGGUUUAAGCGUGUAGGUGUGUGUUCCAGGUAAAUCCGGUUCACUUUAACACUGAGGCGUGACGACGAGGCACUACGGUGCUGAAGCAACAAAUGCCCUGCUUCCAGGAAAAGCCUCUAAGCAUCAGGUAACAUCAAAUCGUACCCCAAACCGACACAGGUGGUCAGGUAGAGAAUACCAAGGCGCUUGAGAGAACUCGGGUGAAGGAACUAGGCAAAAUGGUGCCGUAACUUCGGGAGAAGGCACGCUGACACGUAGGUGAAGUGAUUUACUCAUGGAGCUGAAGUCAGUCGAAGAUACCAGCUGGCUGCAACUGUUUAUUAAAAACACAGCACUGUGCAAACACGAAAGUGGACGUAUACGGUGUGACGCCUGCCCGGUGCCGGAAGGUUAAUUGAUGGGGUCAGCGCAAGCGAAGCUCCUGAUCGAAGCCCCGGUAAACGGCGGCCGUAACUAUAACGGUCCUAAGGUAGCGAAAUUCCUUGUCGGGUAAGUUCCGACCUGCACGAAUGGCGUAAUGAUGGCCAGGCUGUCUCCACCCGAGACUCAGUGAAAUUGAACUCGCUGUGAAGAUGCAGUGUACCCGCGGCAAGACGGAAAGACCCCGUGAACCUUUACUAUAGCUUGACACUGAACAUUGAGCCUUGAUGUGUAGGAUAGGUGGGAGGCUUUGAAGUGUGGACGCCAGUCUGCAUGGAGCCGACCUUGAAAUACCACCCUUUAAUGUUUGAUGUUCUAACGUGGACCCGUUACCCGGGUUGCGGACAGUGUCUGGUGGGUAGUUUGACUGGGGCGGUCUCCUCCUAAAGAGUAACGGAGGAGCACGAAGGUUGGCUAAUCCUGGUCGGACAUCAGGAGGUUAGUGCAAUGGCAUAAGCCAGCUUGACUGCGAGCGUGACGGCGCGAGCAGGUGCGAAAGCAGGUCAUAGUGAUCCGGUGGUUCUGAAUGGAAGGGCCAUCGCUCAACGGAUAAAAGGUACUCCGGGGAUAACAGGCUGAUACCGCCCAAGAGUUCAUAUCGACGGCGGUGUUUGGCACCUCGAUGUCGGCUCAUCACAUCCUGGGGCUGAAGUAGGUCCCAAGGGUAUGGCUGUUCGCCAUUUAAAGUGGUACGCGAGCUGGGUUUAGAACGUCGUGAGACAGUUCGGUCCCUAUCUGCCGUGGGCGCUGGAGAACUGAGGGGGGCUGCUCCUAGUACGAGAGGACCGGAGUGGACGCAUCACUGGUGUUCGGGUUGUCAUGCCAAUGGCACUGCCCGGUAGCUAAAUGCGGAAGAGAUAAGUGCUGAAAGCAUCUAAGCACGAAACUUGCCCCGAGAUGAGUUCUCCCUGAGACUUAAAGUCUCCUGAAGGAACGUUGAAGACGACGACGUUGAU